CAGCAGCCGCGGUAAUACGUAGGUGGCAAGCGUUGUCCGGAAUUAUUGGGCGUGAAGCGCGCGCAGGUGGUUUAAUAAGUCUGAUGUGAAAGCCCACGGCUCAACCGUGGAGGGUCAUUGGAAACUGUUAAACUUGAGUGCAGGAGAGAAAAGUGGAAUUCCUAGUGUAGCGGUGAAAUGCGUAGAGAUUAGGAGGAACACCAGUGGCGAAGGCGGCUUUUUGGCCUGUAACUGACACUGAGGCGCGAAAGCGUGGGGAGCAAACAGGAUUAGAUACCCGAGUAGUCCCUGUCUCUUAUAC
Molecule: ribosomal RNA, 301 nt
Filed under: uncultured bacterium
Lineage: Bacteria
Description: partial 16S ribosomal RNA
Rfam family: Bacterial small subunit ribosomal RNA
Source: RNAcentral